This 432-nucleotide ribosomal RNA is filed under the name uncultured bacterium. Its description in RNAcentral is "partial 16S ribosomal RNA". It matches the Rfam family "Bacterial small subunit ribosomal RNA", at positions 29 to 507 of the family's 1533-position model. The record is from RNAcentral.
AACGAACGCUGGCGGCAUGCCUAACACAUGCCAGUCGAACGAGACCUUCGGGUCUAGUGGCGCACGGGUGCGUAACGCGUGGGAACCUGCCCUUAGGUUCGGAAUAACUCCCCGAAAGGGGUGCUAAUACCGGAUAAUGUCUUCGGACCAAAGAUUUAUCGCCUUUGGAUGGGCCCGCGUUGGAUUAGCUAGUUGGUAGGGUAAAAGCCUACCAAGGCGACGAUCCAUAGCUGGUCUGAGAGGAUGAUCAGCCACACUGGGACUGAGACACGGCCCAGACUCCUACGGGAGGCAGCAGUGGGGAAUAUGGGACAAUGGGCGAAAGCCUGAUCCAGCAAUGCCGCGUGAGUGAUGAAGGCCUUAGGGUUGUAAAGCUCUUUUACCCGGGAUGAUAAUGACAGUACCGGGAGAAUAAGCUCCGGCUACUCCGUG